RNAcentral lists this ribosomal RNA (492 nucleotides) under uncultured bacterium. RNAcentral's name for it is "partial 16S ribosomal RNA". It matches the Rfam family "Bacterial small subunit ribosomal RNA", at positions 29 to 507 of the family's 1533-position model. The record is from RNAcentral.
AGUGAACGCUGGCGGUAUGCCUAACACAUGCAAGUCGAACGGCAGCACAGUAAGAGCUUGCUCUUACGUGUGUCGAGUGGCGGACGGGUGAGGAAUACAUCGGAAUCUACUUUUUCGUGGGGGAUAACGUAGGGAAACUUACGCUAAUACCGCAUACGACCUACGGGUGAAAGCAGGGGAUCUUCGGACCUUGCGCGAUUGAAUGAGCCGAUGUCGGAUUAGCUAGUUGGCGGGGUAAAGGCCCACCAAGGCGACGAUCCGUAGCUGGUCUGAGAGGAUGAUCAGCCACACUGGCACUGAGAAACGGUCCAGACUCCUACGGGGGGCAGCAGUGGGGAAUAUUGGGCAAUGGGGGAAAGCCUGAUACAGCCAUACCGCGUGGGUGAAGAAGGCCUUCGGGUUGUAAAGCCCUUUUGUUGGGAAAGAAAAGCAGCAGGUUAAUACCCCGCUGUUCUGACGGUACCCAAAGAAUAAGCACCGGCUAACUUCGUG